GUCGCGGUCGGCCCACAGGCUGGGCACUAACGGGUCCCGGGGCGCCGGGGCGGACCGCGGAGGUCGUAGUGGACUAAUUUUACAGGCGAAGUUAAGUGACUUACCCAAAACCUCACAGCUAAUAAACGGCAGAGCCGGCACCCAGCUGUACUGGCUUCCAAUUCUGUUAGCUUACCAGCGCAUCACAUUAUCUCCAUAAAUCCCCAUGAUUCAACUAAUAUUAGACGCCCCACAGGUAAGAUGCUUCAGAGUUAGAGGGGAGUUGAAGAUACCUUUGCCUUCAAAGAAGUAAGGAAUAAAACAAAGAUAAAACAGACAAUAAAAGACAAACCAUGAUAGGUGCCACGUGAAAAGUGGCAGAGUACUGCCGGGAAUCAAAGAACCGUGUAUAUCUGUCUUGGGGAUAAGGAAAGAAAGGCAGCAUGAAGGAGUAGGCAUUUGGGAUUGACCUUGAAGGAGACAGGGAGAGUUUUACAGCAAGCAGGGAUAGCAUGAGAAUAUAUAUGAAGGCGAAUCAGUGAAAGUUGUGUUGGGGAAAGAGCAAAGACUCCAGGGUAUGUUGAGAGGUAGAAAAGACAAAGGAGUAUGGGGCCUAAGAUACCAAAUGGAUGAAUUUAUAUUUAAUUCAGUAUUUUGAGUUUUUAUGGUUCAGAAGUUUGGGGGAAGAAAAGGAAGGUUUUUUUUUUUCUUUGUGCUAGUGAUUUAUCUGUGAGGGGAAGCAGAAAUCAGAGGUGGAAAAACGGACAGAUCUACUGUAGGCCAGGUAAAAAUGAUGAGUCUGACCUAAAGGGACAGCUAGGGGAAUUUAAAAGAGCAUAGUUGAGAGAUGAUGUGCAUGCAGUAUCUAUAGAAUUUGGCAACUGAUUGAUUAAUUGUGGGUAGGAAGAGAGAAAUCAAAGAAAGUGGAGGUUUUGAGUUUGUAGAUAAUUGCAAGAGAGAAAAGAGACAAUUACAAAGGAGAGGGAGCUACUUCUUGAGAGAUCAGUUUAGAUUUGGACAUUUUAAGAAUUCAAAGGGUUGUCAAGACAGCCAGAGAGACAUGGACACUAAUAAGUUAGAAAUAAAGGUUUUGUAAUAUGGGAAAGAGGACUGAACUAGAAAAUAGACUCAUAAAUAAUCAGCCUAGGAGUGAUAUUGCUGUGAGAUAAAAGAAGAAAACAAAGGUCAGAAUCUUGGAAAACACCCUCUUUAGAGUCUCGCUACUCAAAACGUGGUCAGUGGCCCAGCAGCACUGACAUGAGGAUGUUAGUUAGAAACUCAGAAUCUCAGGCUCCACCCCAGACCUGCUGAACCAGCAUCUUCAACUUAACAAGAACCCGAAGAGAUUUGUGUCACAUCAAAAAGUUUGAGAAGCUCUGAUCUAGGUGAGCCAAGCCAGCAAAGAAAGGGGAUGGAGCAGAAAAUGGGAGGAGAAUAGGGUAACGCAGAAUCAUCAAGACAAGGUAAAUUGGAGUUUCACAAAAACAGGGCUGGAAGGAGUGUUGCUCAACAAUAUCCAAAACCACAGAGGUUGAAAAGCACAAGGAAAGAAGGUAUGUUUGCACUUUGUGAUUAGGUAGUAGGGUCUUUGAGACCACAUUGUUCUUAUUGAAAGCCUGGGAAGAAAGAUCCCCUUUCUGGUCAAGUUUAGUCUAGGGAUCCAUCCCAUCUUCCCCAGUUCCCACGUGUAUGGGACAUGUCGAGAUAAGUAGAUAGAUUGGACAGUGGGAGAAAGUAGUUCUCUUCCAGUUGCUUCUAUUUUCUCAGCAAAGUGAGGAGCAAGAUCAUUUUGGCAGACUGCUAAUUGUCCAUCACAAUUUAGUCUCCCUUUCUCCCUGAAAACACAGACUGCUUUUCUCAGCCUCUCUUUCAGUUGCAUAUGGUCAAGUAUUAAGUUAUAGAACGUGAGCAGAUGUUAUGUCUGCCACUGUCAGGCCAAGGCGUUUACUUUGAGAGUACUUGUGCCUCUUUCAUGCAUUUUCCUUUCUGCCAGCUGGACCCUGGACACGGUGACUCUGAUUCAAUUAUGCAGAUGACCACAAACCUCUGGGGUUGGCAGAGCCACAAGAAAGAAGGUGCCUGGAUGAAGGAGAGCUACCCACUGACCUGGACACCCAAUUAUAGGAUAGACAGUGAAGUGCAACUACAGCCCGCAAAUGAAAAUGAAUAAUAUUAAUCCAGCCCCUCAAGGCAGGCGAGUAGCUGCUGUCAUCUGUCUUAGAGCUAUUGGAAUCCUGGAUCAUUGUGGGAAAUGAAAGGAACUGGUUUUUAGCAAGGAGACCAAGAAACUCUACUCCCUAGGGGCUAGCAAUGAGAGAAAGGAAGCCUUAAGUCUUUGAGCACAGGGUGACAGUUUGGGUCCUAUGUGAGAUGAUCAAAUCCACAGCAACAGAGGAAAGGACAAAAGGAAAAGAUACUUCGAUGGAAUCAGCAGCCAUUGAUCCAAUGCCAACUCCAAGACUGGAACGUCGCAAUGAUAGUUCCAAGGCGGAAAUUUGACGUAAUUCUUUUCGACACAGUUUUACAGGCAUCUUGCAUGUGAAUAACUCACAACUUUAAUUCAUGGAACAAAUUGAGAAAUAGUCUUUUGGGGGUUUGGUACUCCCUGGAAACAUAAGAGUGCUUUGGGCACCUCUGGUGCCUUUCCAUGCCUGCCUUCUCUGCUGUUCUUGCUACUAGUGAAUUCUAAAUCAUGGCCAAGUGAUGCCAGCACUGGAUAAUAUUGGCUCUGCCCCAUAUCUCGAGGGAAAACUCUAGGACUUGGCAUUAUAUGUGUGGGAAUCUGGCCUUGGUUGGCACUCCCAGCAUGAUAGCGGGGUUCUCCUGUCUGAAUGUACUCUGGGGUGUGCGCCACAAUUUCUGUCAUCGAAAUGGAGAUGAGAGAAUAUGCCCUUGGUGGGGACACCCCACUGGAAUUAGAGUGAAGAGAUCAAAGCUAGAGGUUCUUAAAUCAAAGAAUAUCUAAUAGCAAAGACAAAAACUUGCUUAAGGGAAAUGCAUACAAGUACUAGACCUAAUAUGAUGAAAAAUGCCAACUUCAAUAUAUUGAUGCAUGCUUAGUACACUUUCAGUCCUGCAAAGACAAAGUUUUUUGUUGUUUUUUUUUUGAGACGGAGUCUCGCUCUGUCGCCCAGGUUGGAGUGC
Molecule: long non-coding RNA, 3123 nt
Filed under: Homo sapiens (human)
Lineage: Eukaryota; Metazoa; Chordata; Mammalia; Primates; Hominidae
Description: HSALNT0353113
Source: RNAcentral